GACGAACGUUGGCGGCGUGCUUAACACAUGCAAGUCGAACGGAAAGGCCCUGCUUUUGUGGGGUGCUCGAGUGGCGAACGGGCGAGUAACACGUGAGUAACCUGCCCUUGACUUUGGGAUAACUUCAGGAAACUGGGGCUAAUACCGGAUAGGAGCUCCUGCUGCAUGGUGGGGGUUGGAAAGUUUCGGCGGUUGGGGAUGGACUCGCGGCUUAUCAGCUUGUUGGUGGGGUAGUGGCUUACCAAGGCUUUGACGGGUAGCCGGCCUGAGAGGGUGACCGGCCACAUUGGGACUGAGAUACGGCCCAGACUCCUACGGGAGGCAGCAGUGGGGAAUAUUGCACAAUGGGCGGAAGCCUGAUGCAGCAACGCCGCGUGCGGGAUGACGGCCUUCGGGUUGUAAACCGCUUUCGCCUGUGACGAAGCGUGAGUGACGGUAAUGGGUAAAGAAGCACCGGCUAACUACGUGCCAGCAGCCGCGGUGAUACGUAGGGUGCGAGCGUUGUCCGGAUUUAUUGGGCGUAAAGGGCUCGUAGGUGGUUGAUCGCGUCGGAAGUGUAAUCUUGGGGCUUAACCCUGAGCGUGCUUUCGAUACGGGUUGACUUGAGGAAGGUAGGGGAGAAUGGAAUUCCUGGUGGAGCGGUGGAAUGCGCAGAUAUCAGGAGGAACACCAGUGGCGAAGGCGGUUCUCUGGGCCUUUCCUGACGCUGAGGAGCGAAAGCGUGGGGAGCGAACAGGCUUAGAUACCCUGGUAGUCCACGCUGUAAACGGUGGGUACUAGGUGUGGGGUCCAUUCCACGGGUUCCGUGCCGUAGCUAACGCUUUAAGUACCCCGCCUGGGGAGUACGGCCGCAAGGCUAAAACUCAAAGGAAUUGACGGGGCCCCGCACAAGCGGCGGAGCAUGCGGAUUAAUUCGAUGCAACGCGUAGAACCUUACCUGGGUUUGACAUGGAUCGGGAGCGCUCAGAGAUGGGUGUGCCUCUUUUGGGGUCGGUUCACAGGUGGUGCAUGGCUGUCGUCAGCUCGUGUCGUGAGAUGUUGGGUUAAGUCCCGCAACGAGCGCAACCCUUGUUCACUGUUGCCAGCACGUUAUGGUGGGGACUCAGUGGAGACCGCCGGGGUCAACUCGGAGGAAGGUGGGGAUGACGUCAAGUCAUCAUGCCCCUUAUGUCCAGGGCUUCACGCAUGCUACAAUGGCUGGUACAGAGAGUGGCGAGCCUGUGAGGGUGAGCGAAUCUCGGAAAGCCGGUCUCAGUUCGGAUUGGGGUCUGCAACUCGACCUCAUGAAGUCGGAGUCGCUAGUAAUCGCAGAUCAGCAACGCUGCGGUGAAUACGUUCCCGGGGCU
Molecule: ribosomal RNA, 1346 nt
Filed under: uncultured bacterium
Lineage: Bacteria
Description: bacterial SSU rRNA
Rfam family: Bacterial small subunit ribosomal RNA
Source: RNAcentral